GCCCUCCCCUGGAUUCCCCCUCCCACCCCCUGGUUACGACCUGGACCAUCUUUAACUGGAUGACUGUGCUGUCCCACCCAUCCUUGGGUCUCCCGGCUAGGAUAUGUCCAAUCCAAUCCACCCGCUGCGCUGGCUCCUGAGAGCUCUCAUAAAAUCAAACUCUGCUCAUGCAGCGUCCACCUAAAGGCCCCCAGUAGCUGCCAUUUCCUCGGACCCAAACUCUUCACAGCUGCAGCCAAACUUCCAGAAGCACCUGACUCGCUCGCACAGAUCCUUCCGUCUGGCCAAACCGGAAGUUGUUUUUUCUCCCCUAGGCCAGAGCCUCUGAGUCCCUUGGGCCUUGGCUCCAGCUGUGCGCUCCCCGCCCUGCCUAGACUAUCCAGUGCCCGCCUGGUGCUCUGCAUCCAGAAGGCCCUGGGUGGUAAGCUGCCCUGCUCCCCCUGCACCCAGGCCGGGGCUGGAUUUUGGCUGAGGAAGAUGGAGCCUGGGGUGACCGUCCCUCAGGAUCUCUGACUGUGGGAGUGGCCGGCCCUCGGGCUCCUUCGUCGCACUCCAUCUGGUCCAGCCUCGCCUACAGCAAAACACCCACCAUGCACUAGAGAACAGAAUUUUUGGACUCAGCACUUGGGUUCCAUCAGACACCUAAUUAUCCACCAUAUUAAAUCAAAUAAGGAUGAAUGUACUCAGUUUGAGCUCUUCUUCCAAAAAGAAAACUACCAGGAAUUGGUCCAGAGAAUCUUGGAAUAUUCUUUUGCUUCUCUUAACCGCCAAAGAGCCACUUCGUGACUUCUUUCUCCUUCUCCUCCUCCUCUUCUGCUUCUGCUUUGCUCCAUCAACCUUCCUCUCUGAUGAGCCAGGCCUUGGAUCUGGUUCCCAGGCACCGCUGAGGACGAUGAAGUUUAUGAAAAAACCAGCAGGCAGAGUGUCAUUCGCAGUUUCACCACUUGGUGGCGCCAUUGCCCCACUUUCCAUUUUCGGGCAGUCUGGCGUCCGGAGAGUUCCUACUGUCUUUUGCUAACGGUUU
Long non-coding RNA from Prionailurus viverrinus (fishing cat), 1024 nucleotides. RefSeq lists it as uncharacterized. The record is from RefSeq and is a predicted model, not a curated record. Lineage: Eukaryota; Metazoa; Chordata; Mammalia; Carnivora; Felidae. The transcript has 4 exons.